Molecule: transfer RNA, 72 nt
Filed under: Sus scrofa (pig)
Lineage: Eukaryota; Metazoa; Chordata; Mammalia; Artiodactyla; Suidae
Rfam family: tRNA
About the family: Transfer RNA (tRNA) molecules are approximately 80 nucleotides in length. Their secondary structure includes four short double-helical elements and three loops (D, anti-codon, and T loops). Further hydrogen bonds mediate the characteristic L-shaped molecular structure. tRNAs have two regions of fundamental functional importance: the anti-codon, which is responsible for specific mRNA codon recognition, and the 3' end, to which the tRNAs corresponding amino acid is attached (by aminoacyl-tRNA synthetases). tRNAs cope with the degeneracy of the genetic code in two manners: having more than one tRNA (with a specific anti-codon) for a particular amino acid; and 'wobble' base-pairing, i.e. permitting non-standard base-pairing at the 3rd anti-codon position.
Source: Rfam by way of RNAcentral
UCCCUGGUGGUCUAAUGGUUAGGAAUCAGUGCUUUCACCACUGCAGCCUGGGUUCAAUUCCUGGUCUGGGGG